CAGAUGCCACCCGCUUCAUUCAAGUGUCUGGCAGCACUGUGUUCCUGUUAGAGCCACCAGCACAAGCACCAGACGAUGCUGAUCCAGGUGAAGGCCCCAGUGCAGCAGCAACAGCACAUGAUGGAGACGAUGAUGAGGGAGAAGACCAUCUCUCUGGAUUCCAGAAGGCAUGAGGUAUCAUGUUAAGACUGUGAAAGUACUAUUUACUCUACAAUGGUGAGGAGUCCUCAUCAAAAUCAAAAAAUCUAAUU
Molecule: long non-coding RNA, 251 nt
Organism: Salvelinus namaycush (lake trout)
Lineage: Eukaryota; Metazoa; Chordata; Actinopteri; Salmoniformes; Salmonidae
Exons: 3
Source: RefSeq, a predicted model, not a curated record